UAAUUACCACCGAGCGGCGGGU
RNAcentral lists this small nuclear RNA (22 nucleotides) under Arabidopsis thaliana (thale cress). Its description in RNAcentral is "snRNA_11967". The record is from RNAcentral. Lineage: Eukaryota; Viridiplantae; Streptophyta; Magnoliopsida; Brassicales; Brassicaceae.